RNAcentral lists this ribosomal RNA (253 nucleotides) under uncultured bacterium. RNAcentral describes it as "partial 16S ribosomal RNA". It matches the Rfam family "Bacterial small subunit ribosomal RNA", at positions 524 to 776 of the family's 1533-position model. The record is from RNAcentral.
GACGUAGGAGGCGAGCGUUGUCCGGAGUUACUGGGCGUAAAGCGCGCGCAGGCGGUCACGCAGGUCAUCUGCGAAAGCACUCGGCUCAACCGGGAUGUUGCGGGUGAAACCGCGUGACUUGAGGGUGGGAGAGGUCGGUGGAAUUCCCGGUGUAGUGGUGAAAUGCGUAGAGAUCGGGAGGAACACCCGUAGCGAAGGCGGCCGACUGGACCACACCUGACGCUGAGGCGCGAAGGCCAGGGGAGCGAACGGG